GAGUCUCCUGGUAGUCCUUUCCCUAUCCUUGACCUUUCUCACACUCCUGGGUAUAACUAGAGAAAAGAAAAUUUGCUUCCAAGUUCCAUGUUUACAACUGAGUUGGACAGAGAGGUUCAUUCAGGAACAAUUAAUCAAUGUCUUCAUGAAUAGUUCAAUAUCUUUUUCAAUAUUGUACAUUAUUUUAAAAUGACAUUAAAGUAAUAUAUGCAUUAAAA
This is a non-coding RNA of Parasteatoda tepidariorum (common house spider), 218 nucleotides long. The record is from RefSeq and is a predicted model, not a curated record. Lineage: Eukaryota; Metazoa; Arthropoda; Arachnida; Araneae; Theridiidae.